RNAcentral lists this transfer RNA (76 nucleotides) under Planctomycetota bacterium. RNAcentral describes it as "Planctomycetes bacterium tRNA-Thr". It matches the Rfam family "tRNA". From Rfam's summary of the family: Transfer RNA (tRNA) molecules are approximately 80 nucleotides in length. Their secondary structure includes four short double-helical elements and three loops (D, anti-codon, and T loops). Further hydrogen bonds mediate the characteristic L-shaped molecular structure. tRNAs have two regions of fundamental functional importance: the anti-codon, which is responsible for specific mRNA codon recognition, and the 3' end, to which the tRNAs corresponding amino acid is attached (by aminoacyl-tRNA synthetases). tRNAs cope with the degeneracy of the genetic code in two manners: having more than one tRNA (with a specific anti-codon) for a particular amino acid; and 'wobble' base-pairing, i.e. permitting non-standard base-pairing at the 3rd anti-codon position. The record is from RNAcentral. Lineage: Bacteria; Pseudomonadati; Planctomycetota.
GCCAGCGUGGCUCAAUUGGCAGAGCAGCUGAUUUGUAAUCAGCAGGUUGCGGGUUCGAGUCCCGCCGCUGGCUCCG